Molecule: ribosomal RNA, 165 nt
Filed under: Decaphyllus spinicornis
Lineage: Eukaryota; Metazoa; Arthropoda; Malacostraca; Decapoda; Paguridae
Description: partial 16S ribosomal RNA
Source: RNAcentral
UCUUUACAUGGAAAUCAAUUUAUAUUAUAAAUUAUUUGUUUAAAUAUAAAAAUUGAUUUAUUGUUUCGUUGGGGCGAUGUAUAUAUAAAAAUUAACUGUUUAAUUUAUAAAAUCAUUUUAUAUGAUUAUUUUAUGAUCCUUUAUUUAAGAUUAAUAGAUUAAGAU